CUGACUCUCUUGCUGAAUCUACCUCCAGCAUUCUUUCAGGCAGUCCAUUCCAGAUCAUAACAAUCUGGUGUCUAAACAAAUUUUCCUUGUCUUCCUCCUGGUCUUCUUGCCAUUUCCCAACCAGCACCAACAAACCUACGAGGCAAACAUCCAACAGCAGCUCACACCAUGAAUGAGAGACCAGUCCAUGACCAACAGUACUACUGUGCACAUCAUCACACAGUUAAAGCAUGUUAAUUCACUCAUCAGAUGGCAAAGCUGAGCAGCAUUAAGAAGAUGGGAAUAAUUUUAGAGAUAUCAGUUGGACAACAGAGGAACACCAUGGCAAAAUGUCUAAACAACAGAUAUAUUGGUGCUGUAGUAUUCAUAAUAAUUGCUUUGACUAUUAUUUAGAUGGUUUAACCAUUAUUUGACAACAACAGAAAAUGGCAAGCAGUAGAGUUGCACUUGCAGAUUAUUUUUCAAGUAAUCCACUAAUUCCACUAUUAGUUUCUCUUGGUGAGUUUGUGCUCUCACAUAAGGCACCAAAACAUAAUUUGAGAAUUAGCAGCGACACACAAAAAUCAAGGAGUCAUUGUAACAUUUUGCAAAAUUACUGUGUAUUGAUGUGGGUACAAGACUUUAUGCAUAUUGAAGCUGGUUUACUUGGCUUAAUUACUGAAUUACAUUAGUAUUUUCAAACUUUUUUGCAUUUGUGAUAGUGAUAAACAAUUGUAUUGAUUAAUAUCCAUUUUAAUCAACAAGUUAAAUCACUUGUAUUCAUAUUGGAGAAUGGA
Pristis pectinata (smalltooth sawfish) is the source of this 776-nucleotide long non-coding RNA. RefSeq lists it as uncharacterized. The record is from RefSeq and is a predicted model, not a curated record. The transcript is spliced from 3 exons. Lineage: Eukaryota; Metazoa; Chordata; Chondrichthyes; Rhinopristiformes; Pristidae.